This 609-nucleotide ribosomal RNA is filed under the name Erythrobacter sp. RNAcentral describes it as "bacterial SSU rRNA". It matches the Rfam family "Bacterial small subunit ribosomal RNA", at positions 147 to 790 of the family's 1533-position model. The record is from RNAcentral. Lineage: Bacteria; Pseudomonadati; Pseudomonadota; Alphaproteobacteria; Sphingomonadales; Erythrobacteraceae.
CUCAGAGAAAUUUGAGCUAAUACCGGAUAAUGUCUUCGGACCAAAGAUUUAUCGCCUUUAGAUGGGCCCGCGUUAGAUUAGAUAGUUGGUGGGGUAAUGGCCUACCAAGUCGACGAUCUAUAGCUGGUCUGAGAGGAUGAUCAGCCACACUGGGACUGAGACACGGCCCUACUCCUACGGGAGGCAGCAGUGGGGAAUAUUGGACAAUGGGCGAAAGCCUGAUCCAGCAAUGCCGCGUGAGUGAUGAAGGCCUUAGGGUUGUAAAGCUCUUUUACCAGGGAUGAUAAUGACAGUACCUGGAGAAUAAGCUCCGGCUAACUCCGUGCCAGCAGCCGCGGUAAUACGGAGGGAGCUAGCGUUGUUCGGAAUUACUGGGCGUAAAGCGCGCGUAGGCGGCUUUUUAAGUCAGGGGUGAAAUCCCGGGGCUCAACCCCGGAACUGCCCUUGAAACUGGAUGGCUAGAAUACUGGAGAGGUGAGUGGAAUUCCGAGUGUAGAGGUGAAAUUCGUAGAUAUUCGGAAGAACACCAGUGGCGAAGGCGACUCACUGGACAGUUAUUGACGCUGAGGUGCGAAAAGCGUGGGGAGCAAUCAGGAUUAGAUACCCUGG